GUAUAGAGUAGGUGAUAAAACAACAGAGGAAGAAUACAUCCUGAUGGUGAAUACAUGCCAAGUCAUCAUGGAUUGUCUUCCUUAUUCUGUACCACAGGCUGUGGAGAGAGGUUCACCAAUACUCUUCACUGCACAAGUCCUCCAUAACACCUUCAAGACACCUAGCCCCUACAAGUCUCUUGGGUCUGACUUUAUUCUGCCCCGAGAACGAGGCUGGAAUUGAAAUAGGUGGCAGACAUGUGAGCUGACUUUUGAAUAAGGAACCACCAGCCUGCGGGGAGAUGAUCCAGUUUGACGUGAGCGUCUGGCAGCCAACACGUCUGGACACUGUCCCGUCUCUUUGCGGUCACAACCUGGAGGUCCGGUUCUGAGCACGUUUAGCUUAGCGCUGACGUUGUUGAAGUAGUUCUUGAGCUCUGCUACGGGUCCUGCUUCGGAGAAGAGCUGUUCCACAAAGGCCUGGGCGUACUGAUCCGAGGUGACCAGGUCCAGGUUCAGAGAUGGGGAUAAAGAAGCUGCAAAAUGAAGGUCAGAAAUGUUGUUUUAAUGUGCUGUCAUGCAAACUGACUGGUAGCUUUCUUGAACUUUGAAUGGAACCAGCAAAAGGGUGCAAGUAUGAUCGAUAACCCAUAUUCUACUGCUGAUUACUAAAGAACACAAAAGGGUAAAAACAAACCUCUUUUCUGAUGAAAGAUGAGAGUCUAAACUUUCUUUUGGUAUAUACCAUGUCCAUAUAGUCCAAGAACACAAUGCCUUGUGUCUUGAAAAAUCCAUCAAAAUCAUCAAAAAUGGCCGGUACCAAGAGGGAUGGCUUUUGAAAUUUUUUUAAGAUUUUUAAUUUAAAAAUAGUUAAUAAAAUUUGUUUAAAUAUACAUUAUGUAUAGUAUAGUAUUUCCAUAUUAUUGGUUGGAUUCAGUUGUGCACAUUGGGCAAGUGGUUAGCGUGCAGGCCUCACAGCUAGGAGAUCCGAGUUCGAUUCCCCCCUCGGCCAUCUCUGUGUGGAGUUUGCAUGUUCUCCCUGUGCAUGUGUGGGUUUUCUCCGGGUACUCCGGUUUCCUCCCACAUUCCAAAAACAUGCUAGGUUAAUUGGCAACUCCAAAUUGUCCAUAGGUAUGAAUGUGAGUGUGAAUGGUUGUUUGUCUAUAUGUGCCCUGUGAUUGGCUGGCCACCAGUCCGGGGUGUACCCCGCCUCUCGCCUAAAAACAGCUGGGAUAGGCUCCAGCACCCCCACGACCCUUGUGAGGAUAAGCAAUAGAAAGUGAAUGAAUGCAUGAAUUCAUAAUAUUCUAUUACUUAUUAUGAAGCAUUUUCUGUACAGGUUUCUUAAGGUAAAAGUUUGACCUCUGCAGCAUAAUUAAUUAAAAUUAUGUCUGACAUAUUUAUAUUAAAUGAAACAUUCAACAACCUCUGGAACAGAGAAACUGAGUUUCCGAGGGCAGGCCUACCCCAGGAUGUGAAGCAGCUUGAGAAAAAUAAGUCUGUCAUGUUUAAACAUUUAAAAGUUUAGUUCCGAUAGUGAGAGAGUAAACAGAAUAAGCUCCAUCAAAUCCGUUUUUCUGGGUUAGGGGAGGCCCCAACCAUAUUGUAUUCUCUGAGGGGAGUCUCACUGUGCCACGCAAGUAAAAUCCCUGGUCUACUGUGUAUAAAAAUAAGUAAUUCAUUUCUUUAUUAAAGAUUUGCAUUCCAAGGGCCCAUCUUGAGCAGUUUACAUUACCUAUCUCGGCCUGCAUGGCGGCGAGCGUGAUGCUCACGCUCUUUCCCGACUCCCUGUCAGUCAGCAUGAUUCCGGUCAUGGCUCCUUCCUCGGGUCCCUCGCACGGCAGGGGGAGACCACCUCGACUUUUCACAACAUCCACUGUGUUUGACUUGUAACGCCUUGAAAGAAUAAUAAUAAUAAAAAAAUAUAUAUUUUAACAUGACAGGUUGUCAGGAAGAAGCUAAUUUGCGUGGCAUUUGUGAAUAAACAUCUUGUACAGUCAGUCAUUGCGGAUCCGGUGUGUCCAAAUGACGCAUUUAUGCUUUUAUUUUCAUACAUUGCUGUCACUUUUGACAAGAUGUUGACUUAAAAGUUAAGACAGAUACGCUAAUUAAUGUUUAUUUUGUGUGCUUUUGCCGUCAUAGUCGUAACAGGAUCUUCGUUUGUGUGUGUGCAUCCAGUUCGGACUUCUUCACAUGCUUUUUUUUUACAUCUGGUGUGUGGCAAACUACUAAAUAAUGGAAUACCUACAGAAAGUGAAAGUGAAAGUGAAAAAGUAAUAACAGCUUCCACUCUUCAUUUUCUGUCAUUUGUGUGUUGGCCCAAUACUUUUGCACACUUAGAUGCUGCAGUUGUUUGCAUUAACCUGAAAGCAGGUACAAUCUGUGCCAGAUCCUCCUUGUAUUGCUCCAGCACAGCCCUUGCCGCCACGGGUUCUUCCCGCCCCUCCAUUCUCGCCAGGUGAACCAACAUUUGGGUGUGGAAUGCUGCUCCGCUGGCCCAGAACCUCAAAGACCUGCAGGUCCAACAAUGUGUCAAUAAACUGAUUCUUACUACUCCCAAUAUUCACCCACCUGGAGUCACAUUCCCCCCCAAGCAGACAGGUCUUCAGCUGGGUCAGGGUGAGACUGAGCUGGCCCUCCAGUCUCAAAGAGUCCUGGUACAGUCGAGUCUUAUCGCUCAGGUUGAUCCUGCAGCGCUUCAAGUACUCCUCCAUGACCUCCUGGAGCUCCCACACCCUCUGCUGGAGGGGACAACUGCUUGGAUGACAUGUAGAGCAUGUCCAUCACCAUGGUAACCGCCAAUCCCAGCAGGCCGGCCAGGCGGGGCUCAUCUGAGAAUGAAGACAGCCGUCCAAUCAGAUCCCUCAGUAGUUGUUCCUGGAGGCGGGACCUGUAUUCCUCAUCCUGAUUGGUGAGCAGCAGCGGGUGCACCACACCUAGGUCAGGUGGACUUACUGGUGUGUUUUGGAUCAUUGUCCUGCCGCAGAACCCAAGUUGGUUUCAGGCUGAAGGUACAAACAGAUGGCCGGACAUUCUCCUUCAGGUAUUUUUGGUAGACAGCAGAAUUCAUGGUUCCCCAAGUCUCGAAGCAGUAAAACAGCCCAAGACCACCACACUACCACCACCAUAUUUUACUGUCCUUUUUCUGAAAUGCAUUACUUUUAUGUCAAAUGUAAUGGGACACACACCUUCCAAAAAGUUAAUCUUAUUUUGGGUAUUAUUUUGGUAUUUUCCUAAAGAUCUUGGGGUUCAUCAAGAUGUUUCUGGCAAAAUUGAGAUGAACCUUCAGCAGUGUUUUUUUGUGUUGAAACUCUGCCAUGUAUGUUCAUUC
This is a non-coding RNA of Doryrhamphus excisus (bluestripe pipefish), 3310 nucleotides long. The record is from RefSeq and is a predicted model, not a curated record. NCBI's taxonomy places the organism in Eukaryota, Metazoa, Chordata, Actinopteri, Syngnathiformes, Syngnathidae.